Molecule: long non-coding RNA, 526 nt
Filed under: Ananas comosus (pineapple)
Lineage: Eukaryota; Viridiplantae; Streptophyta; Magnoliopsida; Poales; Bromeliaceae
Description: long non-coding RNA (ACOM_LNC044436)
Source: RNAcentral
UUUUGAGAGAAAUAGAUAGCGCGCUACGCGCUUCGUUUAUUUCAUUUAGAAAUAAACUUAGCUAGAAAUAUGAAUCAACUAGUUUUCGAACUUGGGUCUUGGGUACCAACCACCAAGCCUUUUGCCACUUGCUCUAGGAACAAGAAUGGUUUUAAUCUAUACGCAUCCCAAACCAGAACCCAAACCAAUUUUAUAUUAUAUAAUAUAUGAAAAAAUCUAAGGCUUUAGCUCUGAAUAUAAGUAUUGAAUAUAGGAGAAUAGAGGUUCAAGAAUGAUUUUAAUCUAUACGCAUCCCAAACCCGAACCCAAACCAAUUUUAUGUUAUAUAAUAUAUGAAAAAAUCUAAUAAUUUACGGUUGUGUCUUAAUUAUUAUUUUAUAGUUAUUUUUUACUUUGAAAUUUUUAAUUUGAGUAUGAUAUAUUUUGAAAUUUGGUAGUGAGAAAUGAUUACUUUUGUGUUUGGAUUUUCGGUUUCGGUUUUAGGUUUUUUGUUGGAUUCGGUUUUGGUUAUUAAAUUUUUCAAAUC